GAUGAACGCUGGCGGCGUGCCUAAUACAUGCAAGUCGAGCGAACAGACGAGGAGCUUGCUCCUCUGACGUUAGCGGCGGACGGGUGAGUAACACGUGGAUAACCUACCUAUAAGACUGGGAUAACUUCGGGAAACCGGAGCUAAUACCGGAUAAUAUAUUGAACCGCAUGGUUCAAUAGUGAAAGACGGUUUUGCUGUCACUUAUAGAUGGAUCCGCGCCGCAUUAGCUAGUUGGUAAGGUAACGGCUUACCAAGGCAGCGAUGCGUAGCCGACCUGAGAGGGUGAUCGGCCACACUGGAACUGAGACACGGUUCAGACUCCUACGGGAGGCAGCAGUAGGGAAUCUUCCGCAAUGGGCGAAAGCCUGACGGAGCAACGCCGCGUGAGUGAUGAAGGUCUUCGGAUCGUAAAACUCUGUUAUUAGGGAAGAACAAAUGUGUAAGUAACUAUGCACGUCUUGACGGUACCUAAUCAGAAAGCCACGGCUAACUACGUG
RNAcentral lists this ribosomal RNA (497 nucleotides) under uncultured bacterium. RNAcentral describes it as "partial 16S ribosomal RNA". It matches the Rfam family "Bacterial small subunit ribosomal RNA", at positions 28 to 507 of the family's 1533-position model. The record is from RNAcentral.